RNAcentral lists this ribosomal RNA (215 nucleotides) under uncultured Desulfocapsa sp. Its description in RNAcentral is "partial 16S ribosomal RNA". It matches the Rfam family "Bacterial small subunit ribosomal RNA", at positions 1171 to 1382 of the family's 1533-position model. Lineage: Bacteria; Pseudomonadati; Thermodesulfobacteriota; Desulfobulbia; Desulfobulbales; Desulfocapsaceae. The record is from RNAcentral.
AAGUGGGGAUGACGUCAAAUCAUCAUGCCCUUAUGACCUGGGCUACACACGUGCUACAAUGGGCGGUACAAAGGGCAGCGACACAGCGGAUGUGAAGCGAAAUCCCGAAAAGCCGGUCUCAGUCCGGAUUGGAGUCUGCAACUCGACUCCAUGAAGUUGGAAUCGCUAGUAAUCGCGGAUCAGCACGCCGCGGUGAAUACCGGUUCCCGGGCCUU